This 382-nucleotide long non-coding RNA is filed under the name Phasianus colchicus (ring-necked pheasant). RNAcentral describes it as "lncRNA (ENSPCLG00000001035.1)". The record is from RNAcentral. Lineage: Eukaryota; Metazoa; Chordata; Aves; Galliformes; Phasianidae.
UUCCACCUCAAUUGCAAAAGCCACACACUCCUCAAAGAAAAGGAGUGAAGCCUCAGCUCAGGAAAAGGUGUGUGCCCAGAGAGACAGCAGUCAGUCCCAGUCUGUCCGUCAAGGUGGACAGCAUCACAAGUAAUCAACAGUGGUCACCCCAGGGAUGAAGAUGGAUAUCCGUGGAUGUGCAGCUCUAGGCUUGUGCACCCUAAGCGUCAGCAAGGCAAAAGUUCACUCAUUAAGUUUGUGGUGUUAGGACAUCUGAUUUUACUUGUCUUGGAAAAUGAAUUUGUGAAAUGUGAUCCCUGAACACAUCGUAGAAAGAUGUAAGCUCUUCUAAUGGGAAAAAAAAGGUUAUCAGCUUUUAAAAUGUAUGUGCUUAAGCCCUAAA